UAGGGAAUCUUCCACAAUGGGCGAAAGCCUGAUGGAGCAACGCCGCGUGAGUGAUGAAGGUUUUCGGAUCGUAAAACUCUGUUGUUAGGGAAGAACACCCGAGAGAGGAUCUCGGACUGACGGUACCUAACGAGAAAGCCCCGGCUAACUACGUGC
Molecule: ribosomal RNA, 156 nt
Filed under: uncultured bacterium
Lineage: Bacteria
Description: partial 16S ribosomal RNA
Rfam family: Bacterial small subunit ribosomal RNA
Source: RNAcentral